AGGGUGAGAGCGGGGAGAGCCAGGGCCCUAGGUCUGGCUGGUCCACGCAGCUGCAGGGUGCCCAGCAGCGAGGCCUACUGCGGAGCUGGGUCUCGGCCUUGGGCUGCCAGCUGGAAGCUGCCAGUCCCUGGGAGAGACGAGAAUAAGGUCUGGGCAAGCAGCCCUCCAGGCAAUGUGACCACCAGGCCACCUUGAGGCUUGAUGGCUUCAACCUAGCCUGGCUCACCUCUCCUCCUGUCCCCUCCCAGGUCCUGUCCUUUCUCCACUCCUGCUCUGUCCACCCCCUGCAGGCUCCAAGGUGCAGGAGAGAGGAGAAGCAACAGUUACAAGGCACUGCUCCCAGGGAAAUUAACCUGCGGAGGAGGGGCGUGGAGGCCGUGGGCUGGGUCACCUGGCCACUGAAGGCAUGGAGGUGCACCGGGUGUGGGUAGACUCUGGAGGCAGGUGGGGAGGCUCAGCAGUCCUCUAUGAGACUCAAGGAGGGUGGGAAAGCCACUUCUCCCUUGGGGUGACUCACGUCCCCUCCCUCAUUCUCCCCCCAUCGGAGAAGUCUUCAUCAGGUUAUCUGGCUAGGCACACAUCUGCUAAGGGCCCUCCCUGGGUCUCAAGAGAAUUAACCCCCACAGUCUGCCUGCCCCUAGGAAAAUGGUGCUGGUGAGGUUUGGGGGAACACCUUGUUGACACAUGUUUAGGAUUUGGGGAAAAAAUUUCCUGCAAAUUGGGAACCCUAAUCAUCACCAGCCAGGGUCUGUCCAAUUAUUUUGGGUCCCCAGAAGGCGGAGUGGGUGGAGGGAGGGCCCAGGGCUGGUUUGCUUCCUGCAAAGGUUAAUUUCUCCACCUGUCCCAUGAAAACCAAUUAAGCCUUCUCCUGAAAAAUAUCUUCUAAUUUCUUGGGAAUCUUUGCCUCUGAUUGCCUUAGCAUUAAAUGAGCCCGAGAUGCUGGACUUCUGUGGUGUUCUUUCCCGCGACACAGCCCCAAAUUCAUGGCUGCAACAUAAACUCUAAAAGCAGCAGGUCAUCAUCUCCAGGCAAACCUAGUCAGCGUGUGGGCAGCAACCUGCACACAGCCGGCCUCCAGGCUGCGAGGUCAGGGAGUUGGAGGAAGAAGGUGGAUUCCUGAGUUAUUGGCCUGGAGGUGGGUGGCUGGCUGGCCGCAGCUGGAGGAGGAAGAGGCAAAAGAGAAAGGAAUGAGGAGAGAAAUAAUCGGAAGAGUAUCAGGCCACCCAAAGCCGACCCAAACAUAAAAAUAAUUCCAGAAAAGAGCACCCCUUGAGAGUGGGCACCAUCCCAAGGGCCAGCGAGGAGGGUUGGGGAAUCUGAACAGAAGCUGCAGAAACUUGGUUUACUCUUGGGAGGAGCAAGUUCUAAAUCUUACAAACACAGCAACCGCAACAAGCUGUUUCAGGAAGCUUCUGAAACACGCUCGAGGCCCAGCGCCGGCCUCCUGCCGCAUCUGGGACACGGCCUGGCGGUGCUUUCUGGGCGCGUGGGCAUUUCCACGUCUCUGCUCCGGGGUCGGAGAUGCCAGCCCUGCCUGCGGCCGGCGGCCCCGCCCCAGCGAGCCACGCGCUCCGCUCUCCCCCAGGACCGCCGCCCUCCAGGUCGGCUUCUCUGCGCGCGAUCAGACGAACCGUCGCCGGACAUUGCUUCUCCGCGACACACAGUGAGGCCGAGGUCCGGAACCGACCCCUUCUACUCUCGCCGGGUCCAGAAGAGGGUCCUCAAACCACCCGCUUACGGAGAACCAUCCUCCACCCUCCCGGGCUCGCUGCACAAAGAGGGGCCUCGGCGACAUCGAGAGGAAAGACGGCUUCCGGACUCGGUGGACUUGGAAGCGACGCGAGCCUUUCAGACCAGCUCUCGCCCGCUGCGGGGCAGAAGCGCUCCCGGAGACGCUGGGCGCCCGGCCUGCGGACCCGGCCUCCCGUUUCUCCUUAAAACGAGGCCGGAGGAGGAUGACUCUCCCUGCAGCUCCGCUGUCCCCUCACUUCCCACACUUCUCUAGAUACAAGUUCAGCUGCUCCUCGUGCAAAGCAGCCACGGAAAGCUCAGCCUUGAGAAUAGAAUGUGAAAGCAGGUCUCGAUCGGUUGAAACCUCGUUCCGGAGGCAUUCUUCGCAGUCCGCGGCCAGAAUGGAUUUCGGAUGUAGAUCCGCAAAGCGGCGAGCUUCUGCCAGCCUCCGCGACUGGGCCGAACGCAGGCUUAUAGCCUUUCUGCCCAGGCGGGAAUCUCCUUUCCGCAGUGGAAACAACUCCUGGAAAACACAAAAUCGAGCGAGAAGAAAGCAGCGAUGCCCGCCCGCGCCGGGGCGCUGGGAGAGCUCCCUCUCCGGGAAGCGAAGCGCGUCGCACGCCCAGGCUCACGGCGGGGUGGGGUGGGGGCAGGAUGGGCCUUGCUCGGGUCGGGGUUGGGGGGACAUGAGCAUUCCCGGGCGCCCACCGCAGUCCAGGCUGCUCCGCGGGGCGCUCACUGCAUCACCCAGAAAUGGCCCAGAGGUGUCUCCGGAGAGCACGGAGCACCGGGUUUCUCCGCCCAGGGGGCCGUAGUCUCCAUGUCAGAGGCGGGGGGAGAGAGCCCCACAGUGGAUUUUUCCCUUCUUGCGCCCGCCUGGCCGAAUGCGCACGCGGGGCGGUGGGGGAGGGGGCCUGUGUGCGGUGGGGGGAGGAGGUAGGGGCGCCGGCCUUUGCUCGCUGGGGUGUGACCCGGUCUCUUCCUUCCAGAAUUGUCAGCCUCUGUCGGGGGCGCGGCUCCUCUACCCCUCUCCCAACUCCCCUCCCCACCUCGUCGUGACAGCAGGUUCGGUGAGGGGAUCCCUCGCUGUGAGACCCCCAGGAGGCCCUAGGCAGGUUUCCUCCGAGGGUUUCCCUCUCCCUUGCUCAUCUGAGUAAGCAGCGAACUCCUGGGCAAGCGUGGUUUGAGGGGUGAUUUCUAGUGACCGGCCGGGUGCCCCACCACGUCCCAGGAGGGAGGGAGGGGGCGCUGUGCGUCGGCGCCGGCCCUGCCCCAGGAGGCAGGGAGGGUCUACACUCUUGCCCUCUGGCUCAGAGCAGACCCCUGGGGAUACUCCCGGGCCGCGCUCCUGCUUUCCGGCGAGGAGCGGACUCCGAACCAGUGGAGACUCUUGUCUCGACAACGAGGGCUCAGGAGUCAGAGCCCGGGUCAGUGAGGCAGACUUCAUGGCUGCGAACUCUUCCUCCGAGGUGAAAGCCUGUCCCCCCAGUUCCCGGGGCACCCUCGAGGAGGCGAAGUGCGCGGAGCGGGGCCCCCGCCGCAGCGUCCAGCACCCCUGGAGCGCGGGCCCCAGGGCUCGGGCGUGGCGAGGGCCGGCUCCGGGCGCGGAUUUGUGAAUGAACCGCUGAGCUCUUUGCAGCUCACAGAUCAGAGGGCUGCGAUCGCCCCACCGACGUGGUCCAAUGAGCCGCUGCAAUAAGCGCUUAGCGACAAAGCAGGGGCCCGGCCCGGCCUGGCGGUUCCGCGCUGCGCCGGGCGGGGACGCGGGAGGGGGCCGAGCCAAGGCAGUGACUUCAAAGCCGCUCGUCCAGACACAGUGAAAGGGUGGCACUCCCAGGGUGGCAAGGUCUGAAACCGCAUUCCCCCACCCCCACCCCACCAGAACGCCCACAGGCGGUCCUAACCGAGUGACCCUGAGCUUCCGGCCGCCUCCGACCCUCCCCGAGCGCGUCCUGCAUGUCCCAAGGACCCCGGACGAUCACCUCGCCCUAGCCCCGUGACGUCCCCGCGUGGGUCUCCACGGCCGCGCGGGUCUAGCCAGACUUGCUUCCCUAAGCACCGUGCUGUUCAAAAACUCCCCCACUGUCCCCUCCCCCACUUUAAAAUUAAAGUCUUUUCGCUGCUUC
Equus caballus (horse) is the source of this 3857-nucleotide non-coding RNA. The record is from RefSeq and is a predicted model, not a curated record. Lineage: Eukaryota; Metazoa; Chordata; Mammalia; Perissodactyla; Equidae.